Molecule: ribosomal RNA, 207 nt
Filed under: uncultured bacterium
Lineage: Bacteria
Description: partial 16S ribosomal RNA
Rfam family: Bacterial small subunit ribosomal RNA
Source: RNAcentral
CGCGUAGGUGGCUCGUUAAGUUGCCGGUGAAAUCCCGGGGCUCAACUCCGGGGCUGCCGGUAAGACUGGCGGGCUCGAGCACGGUAGAGGCAGAUGGAAUUCCCGGUGUAGCGGUGGAAUGCGUAGAGAUCGGGAAGAACACCAGUGGCGAAGGCGUUCUGCUGGGCCGUUGCUGACACUGAGGCGCGACAGCGUGGGGAGCAAACA